CCUACGGGGGGCAGCAGUGAGGAAUAUUGGUCAAUGGGCGCAAGCCUGAACCAGCCAAGCCGCGUGAGGGAAGACGGCCCUACGGGUUGUAAACCUCUUUUGCCGGGGAGCAAGCCUGAGCACGUGUGCCCAGGCGGAGAGUACCCGGAGAAAAAGCAUCGGCUAACUCCGUGCCAGCAGCCGCGGUAAUACGUAGGUGGCGAGCGUUGUCCGGAAUUACUGGGUGUAAGGGGGGUGUAGGCGGGGAAGCAA
Molecule: ribosomal RNA, 252 nt
Filed under: uncultured bacterium
Lineage: Bacteria
Description: partial 16S ribosomal RNA
Rfam family: Bacterial small subunit ribosomal RNA
Source: RNAcentral